GGCUCACCUAGGCGACGAUCCCUAGCUGGUCUGAGAGGAUGACCAGCCACACUGGAACUGAGACACGGUCCAGACUCCUACGGGAGGCAGCAGUGGGGAAUAUUGCACAAUGGGCGCAAGCCUGAUGCAGCCAUGCCGCGUGUGUGAAGAAGGCCUUCGGGUUGUAAAGCACUUUCAGCGGGGAGGAAGGCGGUGAGGUUAAUAACCUCAUCGAUUGACGUUACCCGCAGAAGAAGCACCGGCUAACUCCGUGCCAGCAGCCGCGGUAAUACGGAGGGUGCAAGCGUUAAUCGGAAUUACUGGGCGUAAAGCGCACGCAGGCGGUCUGUCAAGUCGGAUGUGAAAUCCCCGGGCUCAACCUGGGAACUGCAUUCGAAACUGGCAGGCUAGAGUCUUGUAGAGGGGGGUAGAAUUCCAGGUGUAGCGGUGAAAUGCGUAGAGAUCUGGAGGAAUACCGGUGGCGAAGGCGGCCCCCUGGACAAAGACUGACGCUCAGGUGCGAAAGCGUGGGGAGCAAACAGGAUUAGAUACCCUGGUAGUCCACGCCGUAAACGAUGUCGAUUUGGAGGUUGUGCCCUUGAGGCGUGGCUUCCGGAGCUAACGCGUUAAAUCGACCGCCUGGGGAGUACGGCCGCAAGGUUAAAACUCAAAUGAAUUGACGGGGGCCCGCACAAGCGGUGGAGCAUGUGGUUUAAUUCGAUGCAACGCGAAGAACCUUACCUGGUCUUGACAUCCACAGAACUUUCCAGAGAUGGAUUGGUGCCUUCGGGAACUGUGAGACAGGUGCUGCAUGGCUGUCGUCAGCUCGUGUUGUGAAAUGUUGGGUUAAGUCCCGCAACGAGCGCAACCCUUAUCCUUUGUUGCCAGCGGUUAGGCCGGGAACUCAAAGGAGACUGCCAGUGAUAAACUGGAGGAAGGUGGGGAUGACGUCAAGUCAUCAUGGCCCUUACGACCAGGGCUACACACGUGCUACAAUGGCAUAUACAAAGAGAAGCGACCUCGCGAGAGCAAGCGGACCUCAUAAAGUAUGUCGUAGUCCGGAUUGGAGUCUGCAACUCGACUCCAUGAAGUCGGAAUCGCUAGUAAUCGUAGAUCAGAAUGCUACGGUGAAUACGUUCCCGGGCCUUGUACACACCGCCCGUCACACCAUGGGAGUGGGUUGCAAAAGAAGUAGGUAGCUUAACCUUCGGGAGGGCGCUUACCACUUUGUGAUUCAUGACUGGGGUGAAGUCGUAACAAGGUAACCGUAGGGGAACCUGCGGUUGGAUCACCUCCUUACCUUAAAGAA
Molecule: ribosomal RNA, 1288 nt
Filed under: Klebsiella pneumoniae
Lineage: Bacteria; Pseudomonadati; Pseudomonadota; Gammaproteobacteria; Enterobacterales; Enterobacteriaceae
Description: bacterial SSU rRNA
Rfam family: Bacterial small subunit ribosomal RNA
Source: RNAcentral